RNAcentral lists this small RNA (653 nucleotides) under Cryptococcus neoformans H99. RNAcentral describes it as "Cryptococcus neoformans var. grubii H99 hypothetical RNA". Lineage: Eukaryota; Fungi; Basidiomycota; Tremellomycetes; Tremellales; Cryptococcaceae. The record is from RNAcentral.
CUAACAGAAAGUCAAACUACGUGACUCAUUAUCAGAAAAGUCAUCAUGGGCAAAGAGCUUGGUAAAUGUUCUUCUACGAAGGUAUGGGCCAAAGGAUGUCAUCCUCGGUACAGCCAUCUCCUUAACCUACGUCUCGGAGUAGAAUGGGGUAUAAGGCAUCAUGUCCCAGAGUCAUCAAGCGAGCUUCACUCAUCUUUCCAAAAAAAGCCCCCUUCGACGACUUUACAGGAAAGCGAAAGAAGGCAUUUAUCAGGCAUUGAUGCCGUCGUACUCCCAAAAAGGGCGCAUUUCCAGCACUGUCCUUUUUGCUUACAUUACGCCAACUUGUGUAGAGCUCCGCUGGGUGUAAUGUGGAUCUUCACCAACGAUUCGCUUAGCCAAUCGCCUUCGGACUUCCCUUUUUCGCAUUCCUUGGACAGCUUUCUAUAAUUUUGCGACUCCGAAUGAUAUAAUAAAGAUCAAAUUCCGCCCGCAUCCCUUAGUGAACCGGCUGCACGAAGACUGAAACGGAUUAUGGGAAGACGCGAAAGAGUCUACAGCUCAACAGCGGGCCGCGAAUACGAUGGAUGAAAGGUAAAUGAACCACCUUUGGGUAUGAAAAAAAAGAGAGGGAUAAAAAAUUUGAUAGAGUAAGGGGGGUGUAUAAUAUGCAC